AGUUGGUGAUCGACCAUUUGUGGUCCAGCAUGCACAAGUGAGUGGUGAAAGGCUGCAGAGCUGAUGGGUCGUGAGGAUGUAAGUGCGUUUGAAGGCUCUCACACUCUCUACUCCAGGAAUCAUGAAUAAUAAACUGGAGGACAAGCAGGACCAGAUGAUACCAUGAAGAGAAGUUUACAGGCCCUCUAUUGCCAACUGAUAAGAAGACCAGAAUAUGGUCAGUGAGGGAGAACGGUAAGUUUUUCCUCUCCUUCAUCUGGGUAUUUGUAGUAUCAAGCACUGAGUCGUUCUGUUGCUUUGGGCAUUAGUUACAGCACAUAUUUCCUGUAGACUUCGUUAUAAUUCUCCAUUGGCAUGUUAAGCGCAGUCAAUUUGAAAACGAGUGUCAAAAUGUUAUUACUGCUGGUUUUGUGGCAGAAUAAAGGGUGGUCCAGUCUGAUCCUCCCUGGGUUCCUCAUGAAGAGGGAAUGGUAGGCGGUGGGGUUCAGUCACAAGGAACCUGCUAGCAUUCAGAGACUCUAUAGCCUUUGACUCGGAGUGUUUUGCAUAGUUAGACAUGUUCUUAAGUAACAAGUGGUGAAAGUGUGGCUUGUUUAGGUUUGGUGGUAGAAUGGAGAGCGUUCCAUCAUGGUUUUCUCCACAUGUUGCUCAAGCGUUUGGGGGAUUGUGCCACAAAAUGCCAAUUUAGUGACUGUAUGACCUCUAGAGUUGAAUUGUUACUGAGUGAAUGUAAAAACCAAUACAUUUGGUGAGUUUGAUGUUCAGAUGGACCCAUUUGGGACAACAGACACUGGCCUCUCCAGAUCAGACAAAAGCCAUUGAGUUAGGAAAACAUAAAAUUCACUGAGCUUGUCGGAUUGUUGCUGAGAUAAACAGAGGAACUAUUUUUUUUUUUCUAGGCUGAAUGGCUCCUUGUUAACUUUUGCCAAGAAAAUAACAUGAAAAGAGAUUGAGAUGCAAAUCACCACUAAGCCCUUUGAAUUUAGUAAUUCAGGUUAUGUUGCACCUCCAGUGCAAAGCACUUUAUCUGCAGACAACAUUCUGGUUGGGUGUUUUAAUUGACUCAUUUUUUUUAUUGAAUUCUAAUCCCUGAAACACAGAUCACGUCAGCCUGAUUUUAGCCUGGUGGAAUGUUGCCAAGAGUUAUAGGGGCUCUCUCAUGUUCUUUCUCUAUGCGUUCUAUAGGGUUUGUUGCCUUUUUAAAAAAUCAUAAGCUUACUUGUUAGAGAAAGGGCUUUAUGGAUUGAAGAAUAAAUGUCAUCAAGGAAAAAUUAAUUCUGCCAAGAUGGGAGAGGGAACAUUUGAAGGAUAAGUAGGAUUACACACAUACAUACCCCCUCACCCUAAAGAGGGUGAAGCAAGUUUUGCAGGCAAAAGACACAAGAAAUGAAAAAGAGCAUAGUAUAUUUUAGAAUAUUUGUUGAAUUCACCUCUGCUGAUUAUAUGCCCCAAAGUUUGCAUAAUAUUUUAAGGUCAUGUAUUAUCUGAAAGGGAUUAGAAAAGUAUUCUGUGGUUUGGAGUCAAGUCUCAUGCUGUAACAAGGGCCAUCCUCCCAGGUUCAGUAUAACAGAAAGCUAAAGAGAUUUUCCUCAAACCUUGUCUGGAUAGCUGCAGAAAUCAACCUUGUCUUAACACUUUUAUUGUUUGCAAGCUUGUCUAGAAAUGCAGCAGCCUGGAGUAGAUAUUUUCUUGCUAGUUUAGGAGAUAAAUCAUUCUGGUUACUAGAUAGCUGUUUGUGGGCUGGAGCUCUGCUUUGUACAGCUCUGAGAAGGUGAGGAACUUGGGCACUACAUCAGUUAGUCUGACUUCAGGGAAUGGUUUUCACAAAUUCAUUGAGAUAAAGGGCUGCUAUUUGUAACAUUUUUUUUUCCUCAUGAGAGGAAUUAAAUAUUUGAUAAGGUCCUAGAUAACUUAAACUCCAGCAUACAUACACACGCAAUGUCAAAUAUGCCAUUGGUCAGUCGAUUGUUAAAUUACUCUUGGAUUAACAUUGUCCACUAACAGAAUUUUUUUAGUAAAAAAUAGACUUAAGAACUGCAGAAUCAACAUAAACUUAUUAUGUUACUUUAUGUAACUCCGCAAACUGGUGUUUUUAACUUGGGGGAAAAAAACUGAUGGAGUGUUCUGGUUAUCUUUUGUUGUGUAACAAAUCACCCCCAAACCUUGUAGCUUAGAAUAACAGCAAUCAUUUCUUUCACUCAUGAAUCUGCAAUUUGGGUACUCUUGCUCCACAGUGGCUGGGAUCUGAGCUAGAAUAAUUCUAACACCUGGGGCUGGUUCGCCAUCUUUUGUCCCUCAGGCCCUUCCCCAGGACAAAGUGGGGCUUCCUCACAGUGUAGUGGCCUUAGGGUGGUCAGAUGUCUUACAUGGCAGCUCACAGCCAUGAGGCCAGGGCAAAACCUGCAAGCUUCCUAAGAAUUAGGCUUAAGAAUCCCAGAACAAUACUUGAACCACAUUGUAUUGGUGAAGGAAGUCUCUAAAACCAAACCUGAUGCAAAGAGAAAGGGAUUGGACUCCACCCCUCAAAGGGAAGGACAGUAGGAGUUUGUGGUCCUCUUUAGUUUACUAGAGAGUGACUGUUUAAAAGGAGAAAACCCUGCAGUGGCUCCCCAGUGGAUGUGAGCCAGUCCACAAGCCUCAUCACUGAAGAACCUACUUCCUCUGAGUGCCUGCUGUGUUCACAGACUGCUGAUCUGUUCACCUGCAUCGUCUCACUCAUUCCAGAGGUAAAUGCUUCAAGAUGAAGAAGUGUGAGCGAUGAGUAAGUUAAGGACUGGCCCAGGGUGGCCAGUGAUGAGUGGAGGUGGAAUUCACACCCAGGCCUCUCGGACCUCUUUGUUUAUGCCUGUUUUUUCAUUCCACCUGGUGCCUCCCACACACACAGAAAACAAAUCAGCAGUGUGGCACCUCUGCUAUUGCUAGACAGGAGUAUUUCUAACCCACGAUGGGUAAAGUUUACAUCCUGUUAGUGAAAUCAGGUAAAGCUUAAAAAAAAAAAACAAAAAACAUCCAGGCUCUCUGGGGAUCUCUUGUCAUAGCCACCAGUCACUGGGGCUUCUGUGUGCCUGAUAGGGGCUCAGGGAUGCAGUCUUUGGCAGGCAGGGCAAUUGAGGUUUUAAUAUUUUACUUUUAUUACAACUGACUGUCUCUGCUUUUAUUUUAUUUCUUGGGCUACAUUCCACAGUGCAGUGCUGAGUGUUUCAUCCUGCCAGUUUUAGCCCUUUGGGAAGAUUUAGCACAUUUUAUACUAUACUUUGGGACACCUAAGAGCUUGAGGAUGAGGAGGGUUAUGAGAACCUUCAUGGUUAUAUAAAAAACAAAUGCUGCCUUUAUUUUUCCUUUUUAGACCUUAGUCUUUAAAGUAGGUAUGAAGCUAGUGACAGGAAUACCUGGAUUUUUGAGUUGCAAACCAGGGUUCUGGUGGUAUCCCAGCCACUUAGUAGCUAGCUUCUGUUAAAUUACUUAACCUCUUUGUGCUUCAUAUGUAAAAUGGGAUAUGGCCCACCCACUGAAUUAGGUGGGUAUUCAGUGAGCUAAUAUAGCAAAUAGAAGACCUACAAUAAACACCUGCGCCCUUAGUGGGCCUUCCCCAUUUGCAAGAGAAGAAUGUGCCUCCCCGGGAGCUCUACUAUAAUACUUGCAUGGGACUUUUUGGUUCAUAAAACGUUUUUGCAGAAUUUGAUCUUUACAAACCUCAUAAGUCAAGUAGGACAUAUAUUAUCAUUGAUCUCAUUCUACAGAGGAGGGAGUUGACAUGAUCAUGACUGCCUUUCCCAGGCCAUUUCACAAUUUUUUAAAAAGUAAUAAUGGGAGUUCCCAUCAUGGCUCAGCAGAAACAAAUCCCACAGGAACCAUGAGGUUAUGGGUUUGAUCCCUGGCCUUGCUCAGUGGGUUAAGGAUCUGGUGUUGCUGUGAGCUGUGGUGUAGGUCACAGGUGUGGCUUGGAUCCUGCAUUGCUGUGGCUGUGGUGUAGGCUGGCAGCUCUAGCUCCAAUUUGACCCCUAGCCUGGGAACUUCCAUAUGCCACAAGUGUGGCC
Molecule: long non-coding RNA, 4037 nt
Filed under: Sus scrofa (pig)
Lineage: Eukaryota; Metazoa; Chordata; Mammalia; Artiodactyla; Suidae
Description: lncRNA (ENSSSCG00035048384.1)
Source: RNAcentral